RNAcentral lists this ribosomal RNA (468 nucleotides) under uncultured bacterium. RNAcentral's name for it is "partial 16S ribosomal RNA". It matches the Rfam family "Bacterial small subunit ribosomal RNA", at positions 29 to 507 of the family's 1533-position model. The record is from RNAcentral.
UACGAACGCUGGCGGCGUGCUUAACACAUGCAAGUCGAACGGAAAGGCCCUGCUUUUGUGGGGUGCUCGAGUGGCGAACGGGUGAGUAACACGUGAGUAACCUGCCCUUGACUUUGGGAUAACUUCAGGAAACUGGGGCUAAUACCGGAUAGGAGCUCCUGCUGCAUGGUGGGGGUUGGAAAGUUUCGGCGGUUGGGGAUGGACUCGCGGCUUAUCAGCUUGUUGGUGGGGUAGUGGCUUACCAAGGCUUUGACGGGUAGCCGGCCUGAGAGGGUGACCGGCCACAUUGGGACUGAGAUACGGCCCAGACUCCUAUGGGAGGCAGCAGUGGGGAAUAUUGCACAAUGGGCGGAAGCCUGAUGCAGCAACGCCGCGUGCGGGAUGACGGCCUUCGGGUUGUAAACCGCUUUCGCCUGUGACGAAGCGUGAGUGACGGUAAUGGGUAAAGAAGCACCGGCUAACUACGUG